Molecule: ribosomal RNA, 431 nt
Filed under: uncultured bacterium
Lineage: Bacteria
Description: partial 16S ribosomal RNA
Rfam family: Bacterial small subunit ribosomal RNA
Source: RNAcentral
AACGAACGCUGGCGGCAUGCCUAACACAUGCAAGUCGAACGAGACCUUCGGGUCUAGUGGCGCACGGGUGCGUAACGCGUGGGAACCUGCCCUUAGGUUCGGAAUAACUCCCCGAAAGGGGUGCUAAUACCGGAUAAUGUCUUCGGACCAAAGAUUUAUCGCCUUUGGAUGGGCCCGCGUUGGAUUAGCUAGUUGGUAGGGUAAAAGCCUACCAAGGCGACGAUCCAUAGCUGGUCUGAGAGGAUGAUCAGCCACACUGGGACUGAGACACGGCCCAGACUCCUACGGGAGGCAGCAGUGGGGAAUAUUGGACAAUGGGCGAAAGCCUGAGCCAGCAAUGCCGCGUGAGUGAUGAAGGCCUUAGGGUUGUAAAGCUCUUUUACCCGGGAUGAUAAUGACAGAACCGGGAGAAUAAGCUCCGGCUAACUCCG